This 359-nucleotide unclassified non-coding RNA is filed under the name fungal sp. RNAcentral's name for it is "partial internal transcribed spacer region". The stretch from base 1 to 46 matches the Rfam family "Eukaryotic small subunit ribosomal RNA", at positions 1786 to 1831 of the family's 1831-position model. The record is from RNAcentral. Lineage: Eukaryota; Fungi.
AAGUCGUAACAAGGUUUCCGUAGCUGAACCUGCGGAAGGAUCAUUAACACGUAUCCAAACGUUCAAACCCCCCCCGUGAACCUUCAUCGUGCCCUUGUAACCCGCGUAGUUCGCAAUCUCUGAUAAAUCAUAGCCCGGAAAGUUGUAGUGAUUCAGAGACCUCUGGCUACGUGCGAACAUUGGAACAGUUACAAUCGAGCGGUAGUUCUUCUACGAUUCCUGUAGACCGUACACUCGGGCAGGAGCUUUGCCAAAGGGUCCCCAUGCCCCCUAAUAACCCCACAGUUUAAUGUGAAGCUCAAUGUAAUACAUUGGGUAAAAAAACCGAACAACUGUUAGCAAUGGAUAUCCUGGUUCUC